This 867-nucleotide ribosomal RNA is filed under the name uncultured archaeon. RNAcentral's name for it is "bacterial SSU rRNA". It matches the Rfam family "Archaeal small subunit ribosomal RNA", at positions 1 to 878 of the family's 1478-position model. The record is from RNAcentral.
CUCCGGUUGAUCCUGCCGGACCCGACUGCUAUCAGAGUGAGAUUAAGCCAUGCGAGUUAACGUAGCAAUACGUGGCGCACGGCUCAGUAACACGUAGUCAACAUGCCCAGAGGACGUGGAUAACCUCGGGAAACUGAGUCUAAACCGCGAUAAGUGAGGAUUUCUGGAAUGGUUCCUGACUAAAAUCUAUAUGGCCUCUGGAUUGGACUGCGGCCGAUCAGGCUGUUGGUGAGGUAAUGGCCCACCAAACCUGUAACCGGUACGGGCUCUGAGAGGAGGAGCCCGGAGAUGGGCACUGAGACAAGGGCCCAGGCCCUAUGGGGCGCAGCAGGCGCGAAACCUCUGCAAUAGGCGAAAGCCUGACAGGGUUACUCUGAGUGACUUUCGCUAAGAAAGUCUUUUGGCACCUCUAAAAAGGGUGCAGAAUAAGGGGUGGGCAAGUCUGGUGUCAGCCGCCGCGGUAAUACCAGCACCCCGAGUGGUCGGGACGAUUAUUGGGCCUAAAGCAUCCGUAGCCGGUUCUACAAGUCUUCCGUUAAAUCCACCUGCUUAACAGAUGGGCUGCGGAAGAUACUAUAGAGCUAGGAGGCGGGAGAGGCAAGCGGUACUCGAUGGGUAGGGGUAAAAUCCGUUGAUCCAUUGAAGACCACCAGUGGCGAAGGCGGCUUGCCAGAACGCGCUCGACGGUGAGGGAUGAAAGCUGGGGGAGCAAACCGGAUUAGAUACCCGGGUAGUCCCAGCUGUAAACGAUGCAGACUCGGUGAUGAGUUGGCUUAUUGCUAACUCAGUGCCGCAGGGAAGCCGUUAAGUUUGCCGCCUGGGGAGUACGGUCGCAAGACUGAAACUUAAGGAAAUGGCGGGGGAGCA